UCGAGAAUUUUUCUCAAUGGGCGCAAGCCUGAAGGAGCGACGCCGCGUGGAGGAUGAAGGCCUUCGGGUUGUAAACUCCUGUCAUUUGGGAACAAACCUUUCAUUUAACUAGUGAAAGACUGAUAGUACCAGAAGAGGAAGAGACGGCUAACUAUGUGCCAGCAGCCGCGGUAAUGCAGAGGUCUCAACCGUUGUUCGGAUUCAUUGGGCGUAAAGGGUGCGUAGGCGGUCGCGCAAGUCGGAUGUGAAAUCUUAGGGCUCAACCCUGAAACUGCAUUCGAUACUGCGUGGCUAGAGUACUGGAGAGGAGACUGGAAUUUACGGUGUAGCAGUGAAACGCGUAGAUAUCGUAAGGAAGACCAGUGGCGAAGGCGAGUCUCUGGACAGUUACUGACGCUGAGGCACGAAGGCCAGGGGAGCAAA
Molecule: ribosomal RNA, 423 nt
Filed under: uncultured bacterium
Lineage: Bacteria
Description: bacterial SSU rRNA
Rfam family: Bacterial small subunit ribosomal RNA
Source: RNAcentral